Molecule: long non-coding RNA, 4377 nt
Filed under: Oncorhynchus mykiss (rainbow trout)
Lineage: Eukaryota; Metazoa; Chordata; Actinopteri; Salmoniformes; Salmonidae
Description: lncRNA (ENSOMYG00000059330.1)
Source: RNAcentral
AUGAUCAACAACCACCACUAUAUACACUAUAUACACCUCUACCCUCAUUAUCAACAACUACCACUAAAUACACCUCUACCCUCAUUAUCAGCAACCACCACUAUAUACACCUCUACCCUCAUUAUCAGCAACCACCACUAUAUACACUAUAUACACCUCUACCCUCAUUAUCAACAACCACCACUAUAUACACCUCUACCCUCAUUAUCAGCAACCACCACUAUAUACACUAUAUACACCUCUACCCUCAUUAUCAGCAACCACCACUAUAUACACUAUAUACACCUCUACCCUCAUUAUCAACAACCACCACUAUAUACACCUCUACCCUCAUUAUCAGCAACCACCACUAUAUACACUAUAUACACCUCUACCCUCAUUAUCAGCAACCACCACUAUAUACACCUCUACCCUCAUUAUCAGCAACCACCACUAUAUACACCUCUACCCUCAUUAUCAACAACCACCACUAUAUACACUAUAUACACCUCUACCCUCAUUAUCAACAACCACCACUAUAUACACUAUAUACACCUCUACCCUCAUUAUCAACAACCACCACUAUAUACACUAUAUACACCUCUACCCUCAUUAUCAACAACCACCACUAUAUACACCUCUACCCUCAUUAUCAACCACCACCACUAUAUACACUAUAUACACCUCUACCCUCAUUAUCAACAACCACCACUAUAUACACUAUAUACACCUCUACCCUCAUUAGCAACAACCACCACUAUAUACACCUCUACCCUCAUUAUCAACAACCACCACUAUAUACACUAUAUACACCUCUACCCUCAUUAUCAACAACCACCACUAUAUACACUAUAUACACCUCUACCCUCAUUAUCAACAACCACCACUAUAUACACUAUAUACACCUCUACCCUCAUUAUCAACAACCACCACUAUAUACACUAUAUACACCUCUACCCUCAUUAUCAACAACCACCACUAUAUACACUAUAUACACCUCUACCCUCAUUAUCAACAACCACCACUAUAUACACUAUAUACACCUCUACCCUCAUUAGCAACAACCACCACUAUAUACACCUCUACCCUCAUUAUCAACAACCACCACUAUAUACACCUCUACCCUCAUUAUCAACAACCACCACUAUAUACACCUCUACCCUCAUUAUCAACAACCACCACUAUAUACACCUCUACCCUCAUUAUCAGCAACCACCACUAUAUACACCUCUACCCUCAUUAUCAACAACCACCACUAUAUACACCUCUACCCUCAUUAUCAGCAACCACCACUAUAUACACCUCUACCCUCAUUAUCAGCAACCACCACUAUAUACACUAUAUACACCUCUACCCUCAUUAUCAGCAACCACCACUAUAUACACUAUAUACACCUCUACCCUCAUUAUCAACAACCACCACUAUAUACACUAUAUACACCUCUACCCUCAUUAUCAACAACCACCACUAUAUACACUAUAUACACCUCUACCCUCAUUAUCAACAACCACCACUAUAUACACUAUAUACACCUCUACCCUCAUUAGCAACAACCACCACUAUAUACACCACUACCCUCAUUAUCAACAACCACCACUAUAUACACCUCUACCCUCAUUAUCAACAACCACCACUAUAUACACCUCUACCCUCAUUAUCAACAACCACCACUAUAUACACCUCUACCCUCAUUAUCAGCAACCACCACUAUAUACACCUCUACCCUCAUUAUCAACAACCACCACUAUAUACACCUCUACCCUCAUUAUCAGCAACCACCACUAUAUACACCUCUACCCUCAUUAUCAGCAACCACCACUAUAUACACUAUAUACACCUCUACCCUCAUUAUCAGCAACCACCACUAUAUACACUAUAUACACCUCUACCCUCAUGAUCAACAACCACCACUAUAUACACUAUAUACACCUCUACCCUCAUUAUCAACAACUACCACUAAAUACACCUCUACCCUCAUUAUCAGCAACCACCACUAUAUACACCUCUACCCUCAUUAUCAGCAACCACCACUAUAUACACUAUAUACACCUCUACCCUCAUUAUCAACAACCACCACUAUAUACACCUCUACCCUCAUUAUCAGCAACCACCACUAUAUACACUAUAUACACCUCUACCCUCAUUAUCAGCAACCACCACUAUAUACACUAUAUACACCUCUACCCUCAUUAUCAACAACCACCACUAUAUACACCUCUACCCUCAUUAUCAGCAACCACCACUAUAUACACUAUAUACACCUCUACCCUCAUUAUCAGCAACCACCACUAUAUACACCUCUACCCUCAUUAUCAGCAACCACCACUAUAUACACCUCUACCCUCAUUAUCAACAACCACCACUAUAUACACCUCUACCCUCAUUAUCAACCACCACCACUAUAUACACUAUAUACACCUCUACCCUCAUUAUCAACAACCACCACUAUAUACACUAUAUACACCUCUACCCUCAUUAGCAACAACCACCACUAUAUACACCUCUACCCUCAUUAUCAACAACCACCACUAUAUACACUAUAUACACCUCUACCCUCAUUAUCAACAACCACCACUAUAUACACUAUAUACACCUCUACCCUCAUUAUCAACAACCACCACUAUAUACACUAUAUACACCUCUACCCUCAUUAUCAACAACCACCACUAUAUACACUAUAUACACCUCUACCCUCAUUAUCAACAACCACCACUAUAUACACUAUAUACACCUCUACCCUCAUUAUCAACAACCACCACUAUAUACACUAUAUACACCUCUACCCUCAUUAGCAACAACCACCACUAUAUACACCUCUACCCUCAUUAUCAACAACCACCACUAUAUACACCUCUACCCUCAUUAUCAACAACCACCACUAUAUACACCUCUACCCUCAUUAUCAACAACCACCACUAUAUACACCUCUACCCUCAUUAUCAGCAACCACCACUAUAUACACCUCUACCCUCAUUAUCAACAACCACCACUAUAUACACCUCUACCCUCAUUAUCAGCAACCACCACUAUAUACACCUCUACCCUCAUUAUCAGCAACCACCACUAUAUACACUAUAUACACCUCUACCCUCAUUAUCAGCAACCACCACUAUAUACACUAUAUACACCUCUACCCUCAUGAUCAACAACCACCACUAUAUACACUAUAUACACCUCUACCCUCAUUAUCAACAACUACCACUAAAUACACCUCUACCCUCAUUAUCAGCAACCACCACUAUAUACACCUCUACCCUCAUUAUCAGCAACCACCACUAUAUACACUAUAUACACCUCUACCCUCAUUAUCAACAACCACCACUAUAUACACCUCUACCCUCAUUAUCAGCAACCACCACUACAUACACUAUAUACACCUCUACCCUCAUUAUCAGCAACCACCACUAUAUACACUAUAUACACCUCUACCCUCAUUAUCAACAACCACCACUAUAUACACUAUAUACACCUCUACCCUCAUUAUCAACAACUACCACUAAAUACACCUCUACCCUCAUUAUCAGCAACCACCACUAUAUACUCCUCUACCCUCAUUAUCAACAACCACCACUAUAUACUCCUCUACCCUCAUUAUCAACAACCAUCACUAUAUACACCUCUACCCUCAUUAUCAACAACCACCACUAUAUACACCUCUACCCUCAUUAUCAGCAACCACCACUAUAUACACUAUAUACACCUCUACCCUCAUUAUCAGCAACCACCACUAUAUACACCUCUACCCUCAUUAUCAGCAACCACCACUAUAUACACCUCUACCCUCAUUAUCAACAACCACCACUAUAUACACUAUAUACACCUCUACCCUCAUUAUCAACAACCACCACUAUAUACACUAUAUACACCUCUACCCUCAUUAUCAACAACCACCACUAUAUACACUAUAUACACCUCUACCCUCAUUAUCAACAACCACCACUAUAUACACCUCUACCCUCAUUAUCAACAACCACCACUAUAUACACCUCUACCCUCAUUAUCAGCAACCACCACUAUAUACACCUCUACCCUCAUUAUCAACAACCACCACUAUAUACACUAUAUACACCUCUACCCUCAUUAUCAACAACCACCACUAUAUACACUAUAUACACCUCUACCCUCAUUAUCAGCAACCACCACUAUAUACACUAUAUACACCUCUACCCUCAUUAUCAACAACCACCACUAUAUACACUAUAUACACCUCUACCCUCAUUAUCAACAACCACCACUAUAUACACCUCUACCCUCAUUAUCAACAACAACCACUAUAUACACCUCUACCCUCAUUAUCAACAACAACCACUAUAUACACCUCUACCCUCAUUAUCAACAACCACCACUAUAUACACCUCUACCCUCAUUAUCAACAACCACCACUGUAUAUACCUCUAA